UACAGAGGGUGCAAGCGUUGUUCGGAAUUACUGGGCGUAAAGCGUGCGUAGUCGGUAUUGAGAGUCACGGGUGAAAUCCCAAGGCUUAACCUUGGAACUGCCUGUGAGACCUCAGUACUAGAGUGUGAGAGGGGAUAGUGGAAUACCCAGUGUAGCGGUGAAAUGCGUAGAGAUCCGGAGGAACACCAGUGGCGAAGGCGGCUCGCUGGGCUUUACCUGACGCUGAGGCGCGAAAGCGUGGGGAGCGAACCGG
This 253-nucleotide ribosomal RNA is filed under the name uncultured bacterium. RNAcentral describes it as "partial 16S ribosomal RNA". It matches the Rfam family "Bacterial small subunit ribosomal RNA", at positions 524 to 776 of the family's 1533-position model. The record is from RNAcentral.